UUGAUACUGCUGAGUUCCACAUAUUUAGGAAGAUCUCAGUGUUUCUGAGACAGGGUCUCACUAUGUAGUUGAGACUGACCUGGAACUCACUGUGUAGCUCAGACUGGUCACUGAUCCUCCUGCCUCAGCCUCCCAAGUGCUGGGAGUACAGGCAUGCUCCACCACAUCCGGCUGAGAAGAUCUCAGUUUUGACGAAAAGUACUGUAUAUGAAUAUUUCACAUGCUUUGGGGUGUUCGACGCAUGCAUUUCUUCGUGUACCUUCAUGUUUGCUGACUUCAGAUCAUGAAUCGUGAGACCGCGGUGAUUUUGCCAGAUACCUGCCUGUGUGCCGGAGUCCCUGUUCCCAGUAAGUCCCUGGGGCUGCUCGGCUG
RNAcentral lists this long non-coding RNA (372 nucleotides) under Fukomys damarensis (Damara mole-rat). RNAcentral's name for it is "lncRNA (ENSFDAG00000028389.1)". Lineage: Eukaryota; Metazoa; Chordata; Mammalia; Rodentia; Bathyergidae. The record is from RNAcentral.